This is a long non-coding RNA of Arabidopsis thaliana (thale cress), 229 nucleotides long. RefSeq annotates it as other RNA. The record is from RefSeq. NCBI's taxonomy places the organism in Eukaryota, Viridiplantae, Streptophyta, Magnoliopsida, Brassicales, Brassicaceae. The transcript has a single exon.
UGAGACCUUAUGAUACCAUACAUUGUAAGGUAUGAUGUUUUCUGGUGAUAUAGCAUCAGGAAUCACUCCACAAUCUUAUGAACAAACGGUGAUCAAAAACUGAUCAAUAAGCUUUAGCGGAAGAUGGAAACGAAGAUAGAGGUGGUGGUAAAGCUUGAUUGACUCUCUCAAUCGGUGGGCUUGAUUGACUCUCGCAAUCCGUGGAGAACUAGACUUGUUUGAAUCACAU